AGCCCCGGAGCCCUUUUGGGCUCUUCCUCAAACUUGCAUUUUGAUGUACGUCACUUCGAGGCUU
Molecule: transfer RNA, 64 nt
Filed under: Anolis barkeri (Barker's anole)
Lineage: Eukaryota; Metazoa; Chordata; Lepidosauria; Squamata; Anolidae
Description: tRNA-Cys
Source: RNAcentral